This 376-nucleotide long non-coding RNA is filed under the name Nicotiana benthamiana. Its description in RNAcentral is "long non-coding RNA (NBEN_LNC024996)". Lineage: Eukaryota; Viridiplantae; Streptophyta; Magnoliopsida; Solanales; Solanaceae. The record is from RNAcentral.
CACGUUCUUUACGUAUUUUUACUAGCAUUCCGAGUGUAGUCUAUUCUGUUGUUAUCUAGUUUGCUACAUUUGCGUUUUUAGCCUUAGUGCAUCUGUGUCACUGGAUAGUGGCCGCAUCGAGUAAUGAUAGCGUAAGGUCAUGUCCUCAGGAGGGGUGGUGGUUGCGGGGGUGUGUAGGGGUGCAGGGGGUGGCAUUUCGGGCAGGGCAGGAGGUAAGGGUGGGAAGAGGGCGGCGGUCGCCCGUAGAUUAAGGAUUGGGUCCUGGAACAUAGGUACUCUGACGGGUAAGUCCAUCGAGUUAGCGAAGGUUCUCCAACAAAGAAGGGUUAACAUAGCGUGCGUCCAGGAGACUAGGUGGAAAGGGACUAGGGCGNNN